Molecule: ribosomal RNA, 2902 nt
Filed under: Klebsiella pneumoniae
Lineage: Bacteria; Pseudomonadati; Pseudomonadota; Gammaproteobacteria; Enterobacterales; Enterobacteriaceae
Description: 23S ribosomal RNA
Rfam family: Bacterial large subunit ribosomal RNA
Source: RNAcentral
GGUUAAGCGACUAAGCGUACACGGUGGAUGCCCUGGCAGUCAGAGGCGAUGAAGGACGUGCUAAUCUGCGAAAAGCGUCGGUAAGGUGAUAUGAACCGUUAUAACCGGCGAUGUCCGAAUGGGGAAACCCAGUGCAAUUCGUUGCACUAUCGUUAACUGAAUACAUAGGUUAACGAGGCGAACCGGGGGAACUGAAACAUCUAAGUACCCCGAGGAAAAGAAAUCAACCGAGAUUCCCCCAGUAGCGGCGAGCGAACGGGGAGCAGCCCAGAGUCUGAAUCAGCUUGUGUGUUAGUGGAACGGUCUGGAAAGUCCGACGGUACAGGGUGAUAGUCCCGUACACCAAAAUGCACAGGCUGUGAACUCGAAGAGUAGGGCGGGACACGUGGUAUCCUGUCUGAAUAUGGGGGGACCAUCCUCCAAGGCUAAAUACUCCUGACUGACCGAUAGUGAACCAGUACCGUGAGGGAAAGGCGAAAAGAACCCCGGCGAGGGGAGUGAAAAAGAACCUGAAACCGUGUACGUACAAGCAGUGGGAGCACCUUCGGGUGUGACUGCGUACCUUUUGUAUAAUGGGUCAGCGACUUAUAUUCUGUAGCAAGGUUAACCGUAUAGGGGAGCCGCAGGGAAACCGAGUCUUAACUGGGCGUUAAGUUGCAGGGUAUAGACCCGAAACCCGGUGAUCUAGCCAUGGGCAGGUUGAAGGUUGGGUAACACUAACUGGAGGACCGAACCGACUAAUGUUGAAAAAUUAGCGGAUGACUUGUGGCUGGGGGUGAAAGGCCAAUCAAACCGGGAGAUAGCUGGUUCUCCCCGAAAGCUAUUUAGGUAGCGCCUCGUGAAUUCAUCUUCGGGGGUAGAGCACUGUUUCGGCUAGGGGGUCAUCCCGACUUACCAACCCGAUGCAAACUACGAAUACCGAAGAAUGUUAUCACGGGAGACACACGGCGGGUGCUAACGUCCGUCGUGAAGAGGGAAACAACCCAGACCGCCAGCUAAGGUCCCAAAGUCAUGGUUAAGUGGGAAACGAUGUGGGAAGGCACAGACAGCCAGGAUGUUGGCUUAGAAGCAGCCAUCAUUUAAAGAAAGCGUAAUAGCUCACUGGUCGAGUCGGCCUGCGCGGAAGAUGUAACGGGGCUAAACCAUGCACCGAAGCUGCGGCAGCGACACUAUGUGUUGUUGGGUAGGGGAGCGUUCUGUAAGCCUGCGAAGGUGUGCUGUGAGGCAUGCUGGAGGUAUCAGAAGUGCGAAUGCUGACAUAAGUAACGAUAAAGCGGGUGAAAAGCCCGCUCGCCGGAAGACCAAGGGUUCCUGUCCAACGUUAAUCGGGGCAGGGUGAGUCGACCCCUAAGGCGAGGCCGAAAGGCGUAGUCGAUGGGAAACAGGUUAAUAUUCCUGUACUUGGUGUUACUGCGAAGGGGGGACGGAGAAGGCUAUGUUAGCCGGGCGACGGUUGUCCCGGUUUAAGCAUGUAGGCUGGUUAUCCAGGCAAAUCCGGAUAAUCAAGGCUGAGGUGUGAUGACGAGGCACUACGGUGCUGAAGUAACAAAUGCCCUGCUUCCAGGAAAAGCCUCUAAGCAUCAGGUAACAUCAAAUCGUACCCCAAACCGACACAGGUGGUCAGGUAGAGAAUACCAAGGCGCUUGAGAGAACUCGGGUGAAGGAACUAGGCAAAAUGGUGCCGUAACUUCGGGAGAAGGCACGCUGGUGUGUAGGUGAAGCCCCUGCGGGUGGAGCUGAGACCAGUCGAAGAUACCAGCUGGCUGCAACUGUUUAUUAAAAACACAGCACUGUGCAAACACGAAAGUGGACGUAUACGGUGUGACGCCUGCCCGGUGCCGGAAGGUUAAUUGAUGGGGUUAUCCGUAAGGAGAAGCUCUUGAUCGAAGCCCCGGUAAACGGCGGCCGUAACUAUAACGGUCCUAAGGUAGCGAAAUUCCUUGUCGGGUAAGUUCCGACCUGCACGAAUGGCGUAAUGAUGGCCAGGCUGUCUCCACCCGAGACUCAGUGAAAUUGAACUCGCUGUGAAGAUGCAGUGUACCCGCGGCAAGACGGAAAGACCCCGUGAACCUUUACUAUAGCUUGACACUGAACAUUGAGCCUUGAUGUGUAGGAUAGGUGGGAGGCUUUGAAGCGUGGACGCCAGUCUGCGUGGAGCCAACCUUGAAAUACCACCCUUUAAUGUUUGAUGUUCUAACGUUGGCCCCUUACCGGGGUUGCGGACAGUGUCUGGUGGGUAGUUUGACUGGGGCGGUCUCCUCCCAAAGCGUAACGGAGGAGCACGAAGGUUAGCUAAUCCUGGUCGGACAUCAGGAGGUUAGUGCAAUGGCAUAAGCUAGCUUGACUGCGAGCGUGACGGCGCGAGCAGGUGCGAAAGCAGGUCAUAGUGAUCCGGUGGUUCUGAAUGGAAGGGCCAUCGCUCAACGGAUAAAAGGUACUCCGGGGAUAACAGGCUGAUACCGCCCAAGAGUUCAUAUCGACGGCGGUGUUUGGCACCUCGAUGUCGGCUCAUCACAUCCUGGGGCUGAAGUAGGUCCCAAGGGUAUGGCUGUUCGCCAUUUAAAGUGGUACGCGAGCUGGGUUUAGAACGUCGUGAGACAGUUCGGUCCCUAUCUGCCGUGGGCGCUGGAGAAUUGAGGGGGGCUGCUCCUAGUACGAGAGGACCGGAGUGGACGCAUCACUGGUGUUCGGGUUGUCAUGCCAAUGGCACUGCCCGGUAGCUAAAUGCGGAAGAGAUAAGUGCUGAAAGCAUCUAAGCACGAAACUUGCCCCGAGAUGAGUUCUCCCUGAGACUUUAAGUCUCCUGAAGGAACGUUGAAGACGACGACGUUGAUAGGCCGGGUGUGUAAGCGCAGCGAUGCGUUGAGCUAACCGGUACUAAUGAACCGUGAGGCUUAACCUU